AUGUUGUGCAGCCAUGUCUUGAGGGUCAUGGAUAUACUUCAUCUGGAGGAAAUCUCUAAGCACCAUAUUGUCGAGCGGUGGACAAAAGAGGCAAGAGAUAUACUUCUGAAGCACUUGGUUCAGUACCAGAAAGACAAUUCAGCAAACUUGUCAUUCACAUGCAGAAGCGCGAAGCUAUACCUUAAAGCCAUGGAAGUCAUGCGGAUGGGCGAUGCAAGUGCUGCAUCUUUUGAUCACAUGUAUGCUGGUCUCGAAGCUCUGCUAGUGAGUGGAGCACCAUUGGCAGAGAAGAGGGAUGGGUUGGCAUUUGAGGACCGUUUGGAUGGAACGGUAGGUGGAAGACUGCAAGGCAACGUCGAGAUUGCUUUUGUUGAAGGAGACGAUGGUGCUGACCAGUGCCAUAGUGGUGGGCAAUCUGUUAGUGUGAAUGCCCUCCAGGGCUUGGAGCUCCAAACAAGCAUAGGGGGCCGGAAGGCCAACAAACAACAGGGGGAAGGCACCUUAUGA
RNAcentral lists this ribosomal RNA (507 nucleotides) under Triticum aestivum (bread wheat). Its description in RNAcentral is "partial small subunit ribosomal RNA". Lineage: Eukaryota; Viridiplantae; Streptophyta; Magnoliopsida; Poales; Poaceae. The record is from RNAcentral.